Molecule: long non-coding RNA, 926 nt
Organism: Lucilia cuprina (Australian sheep blowfly)
Lineage: Eukaryota; Metazoa; Arthropoda; Insecta; Diptera; Calliphoridae
Exons: 4
Source: RefSeq, a predicted model, not a curated record
UUCAGAAUCUAUAGAACAAACGCAUAAGUCUGAACUGAAUGAUGAUUGAACAAAAUUAUCAUGUAAUAGCUGUAACUUCUAAAGAGAUUUUUUCCCCUGUUCAACUUUUCAACCUGCAACAAAAUACAAAUGAUAAAUUGUAUUAGAGCAACAAGCAACAAUGUAAAUAAAUACAUUUUGGAAAUAGCAAAAAAAAAAAAACACAGUGCAACAGGGGACAUCAGUCAUUUCAGUGACAUUUAUUUAUGCUCACAACAGCAGAAAAAAAGUAUCCGGGCAUAACAAAAACGUGAAUAUUUGACAAAAAGUUUUGGGGGAAAAAAUACAGAAAAAAAAACAAACAAAGAUUUGUCAGCUAAAAUAUCAACAAGAAUUUUUGCAUAAAUGGAGAAAAGUAUAAAAAGUAAGUAAAUUCGAAAAAAGUCUUUUAAAUAAAAGUUGUAUCUAAAAAAAAAAUUAAAUAAGCAAAUAUUACAACUUAUCAAGUAUAAUGAUUUGGAGCAACAAUUCUUAUAAAUUGUUUCAAGAUGGUUUGUGUCAAUGUGUUAGCGCAAAAAAGGCAAUCUAUUGUUGAUAUGAUAAUAUUAAAGCCAAGAUUGUAGAGCUUAUAAAGCUCGAUCUAUAAAGAGUAAUUAUGUUGCACUCGAAAAUUUAUGAAACUAUAGUCUGUGCCAAUAAUAUACAUAGACCAGUAUCUAGUCGAGAAUAUAGAUAAAUCUAUAGUCGAGAUUAUAGAUCAGCCUAUAAACAAUACUCAGUCAAUAGUCGAGACUAUAGAUCAAUCUUUAAUCGAGUUUAUAAAUCAAACUUUAUGCGAUGAUAUAGAUCAGUUUAUAGUCGAUAGUAUAGAUCAGUCUAUAGUCGAUACUACAGAUCAAGACUACAUAAUAGUCUGUAGUCGAAACUAUAGAUCAUUAUAUAGUCGA